AUACGUAGGUGGCAAGCGUUGUCCGGAAUUAUUGGGCGUAAAGCGCGCGCAGGCGGUCCUUUAAGUCUGAUGUGAAAGCCCACGGCUCAACCGUGGAGGGUCAUUGGAAACUGGGGGACUUGAGUGCAGAAGAGGAAAGUGGAAUUCCAAGUGUAGCGGUGAAAUGCGUAGAGAUUUGGAGGAACACCAGUGGCGAAGGCGACUGUCUGGUCUGUAACUGACACUGAGGCGCGAAAGCGUGGGGAGCAAACAGGAUUAGAUCCCCUGGUAGUCCACGCCGUAAACGAUGAGUGCUAAGUGUUGGGGGGUUUCCGCCCCUCAGUGCUGCAGCUAACGCAUUAAGCACUCCGCCUGGGGAGUACGGUCGCAAGACUGAAACUCAAAUGAAUUGACGGGG
RNAcentral lists this ribosomal RNA (397 nucleotides) under uncultured bacterium. Its description in RNAcentral is "partial 16S ribosomal RNA". It matches the Rfam family "Bacterial small subunit ribosomal RNA", at positions 523 to 918 of the family's 1533-position model. The record is from RNAcentral.